Molecule: unclassified non-coding RNA, 169 nt
Filed under: uncultured Lecanoromycetes
Lineage: Eukaryota; Fungi; Ascomycota; Lecanoromycetes
Description: sequence contains ITS1
Source: RNAcentral
CAGAGAUCAUGCCCUUCGGGGUAGACCUCCCACCCUAUGUUUACAUUACCUUUGUUGCUUUGGCGGGCCGUUCAGCCCUGUGCUGAACUACCGGCUUAUGCUGGUAAGCGCCUGCCAGAGGACCCCAACCUCUGAAUGUUAUCGUCGUCUGAGUACUAUAUAAUAGUUA